UACAGAGGUCCCGAGCGUUGUUCGGAUUCACUGGGCGUAAAGGGUGCGUAGGUGGUGAGGUAAGUCGGAUGUGAAAUCUCCGAGCUCAACUCGGAAAUGGCAUUGGAAACUACCUUGCUUGAGGGUUGGAGGGGGGACUGGAAUACUUGGUGUAGCAGUGAAAUGCGUAGAUAUCAAGUGGAACACCAGUGGCGAAGGCGAGUCCCUGGACGAACUCCUGACACUGAGGCACGAAAGCUAGGGGAGCAAACAGG
This 254-nucleotide ribosomal RNA is filed under the name uncultured bacterium. RNAcentral describes it as "partial 16S ribosomal RNA". It matches the Rfam family "Bacterial small subunit ribosomal RNA", at positions 524 to 776 of the family's 1533-position model. The record is from RNAcentral.